RNAcentral lists this long non-coding RNA (28519 nucleotides) under Citrus x clementina. Its description in RNAcentral is "Citrus clementina (C. clementina) long non-coding RNA (CCLE_LNC002770)". Lineage: Eukaryota; Viridiplantae; Streptophyta; Magnoliopsida; Sapindales; Rutaceae. The record is from RNAcentral.
GCCCAUGCCGUAGACCCCAAUUAUGUUGAGCUUAUCAUCCUUCAACGCCUCCACAACAUCUUGAAAUACUUUCAUUCUUGAAUCAAAGGCCUCGUAAUCUUUCACUUCCAUUUGUUCUGUACUCUCUGGAGCAGGACGGUAGGAAACAUUAGAGAAGUUUCCUUUUCCCACGAGACUAGCGGCAGCUUCUGCGGCCUUUGCUGCUUGUUUACUAAGCUGGUAACGAGAAAUCAAGUUGGGGCACAACCCUUUGAAGCAGGACUUCUUAGCUCUAUCUUCAUCAUCAAUGAUGGAUUUUGCAACCCCUUCACUGAUGAAUUCAUCAACUUUAUUUAGCCAGUCUGUGACACCCUCAUAAAUCUCAUCCCCUUGUAGUCUAGCAUGAUUAACAGGUUGUUGCACCGUUUCUCUUCUAUAUCCCAGCUGCUUCACUUGAUCUUUUAGGCCAUCUAUGUAGCUCUGGUACUUGAAAACAUAAGAUAUCUGCCGUAUAAUCGGUUUGAACACUGACUUUGCACCUUCUGAUACGAUGCUGGAAAAAGCAGCCAGACCCACUUCUGCCAUUGCCUGCUACUUAACAAAUCUAAUAAUAUGUCAAAGAAAGGAAUACAAAUAAAUAAAAAUGAACUAAAGGGAAAGACAGAGAAAGAAAAGAUUGCAAACAGCAUCGCGAUAUUGAUCUUGAACCAACUGAUAUCUAAAUAGAGAAUUUCUUUCUUCCAUCUUAAGGAUCAGAGGUUUCGCUAUUAACAGAAAGGUAUCCUUCAAGGAAAGUGGAUGGAAAUUAAGAAAGAACCGUUAUCAAGAUCAAGUAUUCAGCUGCUAAAAAUAAAUGAUAUGACUUAAGAAAAAUAAAUGAUAUGACUUAAGAAAAAUAAAUGAUAUGAUUAAGAAAAACCAGAGAAUUUUUUCCUAGGAAAGUUGAUGGAAAUUAAGAAAGAACCGCUAUGAAGAUCAAGUAUCAGAGAUUCUGCUACUAAAAGAAUAUUACAGGUUUUAGAACAAGUGCACCUCUUUACCAGGUCUGGGAUCAGAGUUGAUAAGCUGCUGUACUCACCUUGAAUAUAGAAGAAAAACAGGUGUCAAGAUCAAGGAGAUUAUGCUAUUAAUAGAAAUUAUCAAAGGAUUUAGAACAAGUUCACCUCUUUAAUUAUCCGGGAUCAGAUAGUUGAUGAGCUUCUCUUCUUGGCGUUGAAUAUUUAAGAAUAAUUUUAAUGAGCAAAAAGAUCACUGGUAACUGCUGAAAAAUGAGUGAGAAAAGAGUUGAUAAGAGUAAUAACAAUGAAUUGAAUAAGAAAGAGACUUAAUCAUGCACCCCCUUUCCUAUCAUGUAUUUGGCUACUGUUGCCUUGUUGACGCAUGUAUAGAAUAGUCAUAUGUAUUUGGUUUUUUUCGUUCACAUGCACUUUAAUCAUUAGUGACCUCUUUCAUGAAGAAUUAAACUUGUAAUGACCAAAAGACGAAGCUGCGGUGUAUUGUCGGACCCAAUUAAGUUGAAGAAAGCACUAGUUCACGACCUUACGUUUGGAUAUAUUCUAAAGAAAUAAUUAAGUUUGAUAAAAGAUAAAGCAAAAGCUUGAAUGCAUGAUUGAGGGCGAAGACUUUUAUAAAAGCAGAUGCCGAAAGCACACAAAAAUGAUUUGAUCUAUUGUUUUCAAAAGAAAUUGCAAUUAGCAGUUUUUGUCAAAAGUUCGCCCUGCGUGAAACUAGUGUUAAUAUAAUUUAAAAAAUUAAUUUCAGUAUUAUUUUUUAAAAUGUUAAUUAUUAGAUUUAUUUUAAUAAUAUAUUUAUAUUUAUUAUAAAAUUUUAGUUAAAUAUUUGUGUUAAAUAGAAUUUAUAAUUAAUAUAAUAUAUCUUAGGUAUUAUAAUUAUUCUAUAUGCUAUUGAAAAUAAUUUAAAUUUUUAGACGUUUAUUUUCAUAUUAAGUUUCUAUUUAUUAUAAAAUUUAGUUUAAUAUAGUAUAAGCUUGUAAAGUAUUAAACUAUUUUUUCAUAUUUUUUUAACAUAUUAAAAUUAUUUUAAAAUAUAUAUAUAUAUUAACAUUGAAGUCAAUUUUUUGAGUUAAUAGAGCUGGUAGGUGUUAUAGUAUAAAAGAGUUUCUUAGCAUCUCUUAUUGAAAAUAUAUAGAUCUAUAUAAUUAUUUUUUCAAAUAUUGAGAUGUAGUUAUAAAAGAAAAAAUAAAUUAAAAAAUUUUAAAUUUUAAUAUGGCCAUCGUAGAGUUAGAAUCCCCGCUCCAACCCGAUUUGGAGAUGUGCUUGGUCUAUUUAUGUUUUGGAAAAAGAAAAACCAAAGAAAAAAAAUACGCACCCGACCAAAUCAAGUAACUCAUCAAAUAAAAAAUAAAAAAGGAAAGAAAUUUAAUGACUUGCAUGCAAUUUUGGAUCUGAAAUUAAAAUUACAUAAAAAUUAAGGAUUACGUACCUUAAUAUUUACAGCUUAUUUGAUGGACUCAACAGGUUUAAGCAACAUCAAAAUGUUUGUGGCUCCUUAAAUGAGCCCCCGACAUGGUGCAAAUGACAAACAUCGACUUGUUUGACAGCUCCAACAAGGCUACGAUGAUCAGAAAAUGAGCCCUCAAUCAAGAAGCUAAGAUUGGCUUCUCUAUCCUCUUCUCCCCACAACCAGCGCCUUGCUCUUUGUCAUUUUUCCUCUUGUUAGUUUUCUUCUACAUAUAAUUAUUACACUGGGAAGUAUACACACACCUCUUUUCUUUUUAUAGUACCUUACUAUUAUAUCUUUACAAAACAAUAUCACCCUAAGACAGCUAUGUACGAAAUAAAUGAAAUAAAUAUAUAAGGAACUGACGAAAUAAAAUUAUCAUGACCAUGACUUUUCUAAUUUAUUUUUUCCUUUAAAAAAGGGACGAGGAUAAGUUUGGGAGAAUGAUUAUAUUUUUAAUAAAAGAAUUCUUUUUUAUUAUAAUACUUUUUAUCUUUAUUAAUUUAAAAAUAUUGACUCUUAUAUUUUAAUAAAUAUAAAUAUAAUAUUAUAAUAAAAUAUAACAAUAUAUAAAAAAAUUUAAACAAAUUUAAGAUUUUAUUAAAAUAAAUUUUAUAAUAACUACAAAUAUAAUAUUAAUACAAUUAUAAUAAUUUGCAUUUUAAAAAGUAAUACUGAUAUUAAUUUUUUAAAUUAUAUUACUCUACCAAAAAAAUUAAACUAUUAAAUUAUAUUGAUAUUUAUUACAAAAUUUGCAAUUAAUUCUUAUUAUAUUUUUAAUUGGAAUUUUUUCCUGUGUUAUAACAACAAUUGCUACAGUUUUUUCCCUAAAUAAAGAUGGAGUUAUAAAUUAUUUGUGUAAGUGUCAUGAAAGUUAUAAUUGAAUAACAAUAAUGGCGCUUUAGGCAAUUUUUUUAUGAGGUCUUCUUUCAAUUUCAACACUUAAACAGACUGCCACUAGGGUUUAUAGCCCAGUGGUGAACCAUUGCCCUCAAAGUUAAGCAUAACUAUGAGGGCAAUGGUUCGAGUCCCCACGGACUCAACCUCCCUCAAUUAAACAUAAUUGUGUAGAGACUUCUUAUAACGUCUUUCUCCCUUGCGAAAUGCGAGUGAAGUAGCGAAAUCCCUCUUCCGUGAGAGGUAUUUGGAUAGGCAUCUACUUCAUAGAAUAAAAAUGUAAUAAUAUAAGUCUCAUGUAUAUAUCUGAUUGUAAAUAUCAAUGUAAUGACCUGCUGUCAUAGCAGUUGUAUAUAUCUCUGUGUAAUAUAAUAACCUGAUGCUUAAUCAGUUCAAAAACAAAAAACACUUAAACAGACUUGUCCUUGAUCCCAAUUUAUUUACCCCAUAUGGGCCGUUAUGACAUAAACAUAUUCUUGUGGAAUGAAAAACACAGGAGAAGAAAAUGUUUUAUUAUAAUUAAAAAAAAAAACAAGUGGUCCAUAUGUUACCUGUUACCUGCAGAGGAAUGUGAUUAUAGAGAGCUUAUGAGAGUAAAGACAAUGAUUUGCAAAAGAAGAAGACUUAAUCAUGCAGCCCUUAGUAUUUAUCAAAUGAUUAGUGAGCAUUUCUUUUAUGGACAAAGAUGCCAACAGCAAAAAGAAAAACGAAAAAAAAGGGCUAAAUUACUAAGUCUUAUUUUAAUUUUAAUUUCUUUUAUUUUCAUUCGCCGAAGAGGGAAUCUCUUUUCCUAAUGUGACAUAAUUAAAGCAAUCUAUAAAUAAUACAAUAAUCAUAUAAUAUAAUAAUUAAAAAGACGCACAUGUUUAUAAUAUUAAUGAUGGGAUCCAUAUGUUUAUACUGAUUAAAUUGGUGGACCAGAAUUUAUUUGACCUUACUUGUUUUCUAUUUGAUUAAAAUUCAAACGACAGAGAAAUAUUGUCGUAUUGAUGGUUUCGAUUGUGGAGUUCCGCUGUGGAUAGCACAUCCAAUAGUGAAAAAUGAAGCUUUCGUCAACUAUCUCACAUGGACGCGUACCAUCAUGCAUAAUUGCAUAUUGCGUUAUUUCUUUAGAAAAGCAAGAUUAAUUCUUUUAACAAGCAAACGCAUAUACAUAGAAUAAUUAUAUGUAUUUGUUGGUUCAAGAAACUUAACUGACAAGAUUGAAACAAACAGGAGAUUUUAUUUUUUUUUGGACAUUAAGAAAUAACAGCUGUCAAGAUCAAGGAGAUUAUGCUAUUAACAGAAAUUAUUAAAGGAUUUAGAACAAGUUAACCUCUUCAGUUAAUCCGGGAUCAUACGGUUGAUGAGCUUCUCUGUUUGGCCUUGAAUAUUUAAGAAUAAUUUUGAUGAGCAAAACGAUCACUGGUAACUGCUCAGAAAUGUGUGAGAAAAGAGCUGAUUAGCGUAAUAACAAUGAAUUGCAAAAGAAAAAGACUUAAUCAUGCACCCCUUUUCAUAUCACGUAUUUGGUUACUGUUGCCUUGUUGACAUAUGUGUAUAAUAAGGGUCCGCCUAAGUUACAGCUGAUGUAAGUUGAAGAAAGCACUAGUUCUGUAGUUCACGAUUUUACGUUUGGAUAUAUUCUAAAGAGAUAAUUAAGUUUGAUAAAAGAUAAAGCAAAAGCUUGAAUGCAUGAUUGAGGGCGAAGACUUUUAUUAAAGCAGAUGCCGAAAGCACACGAAAAGCUUGAAUGUUGUGGCUCCUUAAGUGAGGCCCAGACAUGGUGCAAAAGACAAAAUCGACUUGUUUGACAGCUUCAACAAGGCUACGAUGAUCAGAAGAUGAGCCCUCAAUCAAGAGAGCUCCCUGCCUCUUAAAUGAUAAAUUAAAAGCAAUUGUAGCUUGUCGACAUCAGGCCAAUUUCAGGCCUUUGAAGAGCACAAAUGACAUGGCCUUGACCAAAGAUUGCCUUCUCUAUCCUCUGCCGACACAUCCACUUCUCUCCACAACCAACGCCUUGCUCUCUGUCAUUUUUCCUCUUGUUAAUUUUCUUCUACAUAUAAUUAUUACGCUGGGAAGCAUACACACACCUCUUUUCUUUUUUUCUUUGUUUCAAACUACUAAAUAUUAUGGGAAAAUGAUCGAAACCCUUUUUUUUUUCUUUCUAGUUAACAUUAUCAGGUGUAUUUUUGGCUUUUCACACUUGCAUAAAAAAUUGAUAAAAAUUUGAAACAUAAAAUUCACUUUAUUACCUUUUACUUUUGUAAAUAAACUAAAAGAUAUUUUGGUCUUUUCAUAUAUUUGCCAAACGUUUUUAUAAAUUAAAUGGUGAAAUUGUUUAUAUAGAUUACAAAUAAACAGUAUAAUUAAUUAUAUUUUGUAUGUAUAAAGCAUUAAAUAAUAAGAUAUUUGUGGCUUUUAAAACUCAAGAAAACUCAAGAAAAUUAAAUGACAAGAUUAAGACAAACAAGAGAUAGUUUUUGUUGGACAUUAAGAAACAACUGCUAUCAAGAUCAAAGAUUAGAAAUUAUGCUAUUGAAAGAAAUUAUUAAAGUAUUUAGAACAAACGCACCUCUUCAAUUAUCUAGGAUCACAGAGUUUAUGAGCUUCACUCUUGGCCUUCGAUUUAUAAGAAAAAUUUUAAUGAGCAAAAGAUCACUGUUAACUGCAGAAGAAUGUGAGUAAAGAGUUUAUGGGAGUAAGCAAUACAAUUGAAUUGUAAAAGAACAAGACUUAAAGCAUGCACCCCGUGUUCAUAUAAACAGAACACAUGUUCAAUUUUAACAAAGUGAUCAAUAACUCUAUUCGUUAUUUAAUUGAUAUUGUAACCAAUUCUAAGAGAAUAUAAUAAUAAUCAUUCAAUCCAUAAAUUAAGAAUUAUAUUUUUUUAACUCUUUAUUUAAAUAUAAACCUUAAUGGAAAAUUAUAAAAGUUUAGAGAUAAAAUUUUUCAAUCACCAAACGAAAAAAACAGGGGAAUGAAAACAGAGGAAUCUUGUUUUAACUAUUUUUUUCCUCAACUCUCGUUCUUAUAUUAAUAAUCUUGUUUUGAUGAUAGUGCUCGUGACUGCGGGAAAAUUUCUACUGGAAACAACUCAAUUUCGGAAGAAAACUUAAUUUUGCAAGUGAUGAAUUUGAACUCGUUGGAUUGGUUGAUUUAUGAUUGACUGAAUUUCACUUUUGCCCAAAAGAUCUUUAACCAAAGUUUAAUAGCCAUCAUGUACUCCUUGAAAGCAAUUUUUUUUUUUAGAUUUGACUGAAUUUGAACUUGUUGGAUUGGUUGUUUUUAGAUUAUUAAUAUGAGAUAUUACAACGUAAAUAUUUUCAUGUGGUUGAGCCCUAUUCUAAAAUCUGUAUAUUUAGCUUUAGAAAAAGGGCUUUUCCUGCUGAUCUGUAAUCUUCAAAUAAACUUAGAUACAAAUAAUGAAAUAAAAGACAACAAACAAGCAAUACUGAUACAAAGCCAACAGAUCAGAGUUUUUUCUUGCCUUCUUUUGUUGAAGGAUUAGAGUUUUUGGUAUUAUCAGUAAGGAUUUAAAGGGUCUGAGCAAAACCCCUAAAAGCUUUUUCUAAACUUUUUUUUGGGGGGGGGGGGGGGGGAGCAUGCAAAAUAACCAAAAGAAAUAAUAAGAGCACAGUGUCACGGGACGAGAGGUUACGAGCCCGUACGGCACUCCCGCAUCCCAUACUACGAGAGUAAGCCUAGUGGAAGUGGCACAAUGUCGAUUGGUUUCGCCCUGCCUUGGGCUCGUCAGGAGAACGGCUUCAGUUCCCAACCAGUGUGCGUCAGGAUUUUCCUAGACCCCUCUUCAGCGUUAAGUCCUCGACUAGCGACAAGCUCCCCAAACUCAACCGGGUCGGCCUGCCUGAACUCCAAAGAGUCUAGGGCAUUGUAUUCCCCACACGCACGCCCCUGAAGCACGUCUCCCACAAUCAGCACAACCAUCAUCAACACUAGCGUACAAGCGCAUAUCUUGGGUGCCACGAUUGCGGUCCGUGACAACAGGCUUUAACAAUGAAUAGUAACUUAAAACUCAUGCAAAAUAAGUUACAAUAUUAAAACAAACCAGAGAAAAUUUUUUCUUGGAAAGUAGAUGGAACUACCAAAAAAAAAAAAUUAUUCAAGGAUUUAGAAAACGUGCACCUCUUUAAUUAUCUGGGAUUAGAGAGUUGGUGAGCUUCUCUAUUUGGCCUUCCAUAUUUAAGAACAAGUUGAAAGAGGAAAAAGAUCACUGGUAACUGCUGAGGAAUGUGUGAGAAAAGAGUUGAUGAGAGCAAUAACAAAGACCUGCAAAAGAAAAAGAAUUAGUCAUGCACCGCUUUUCUAUAUCAUGUAUUUGGUUAUUGUUGCCCUGUUGACGCAUGUUGAAGAAGAAAGCACUAGUUCACAACUCUACGUUUUCAUAUAUUCUAAAGAAAUAAUUAAGUUUUCAUAGAAUGAUACCUGUUGUGUUUGAGUAAUUUUGGUAUAUACAUUGCUUGUGUACUGUGAAAUUGAAAUGAAUAUUGAUGGAAUGAUUCGGGACUAAAACUUUUAUAAAAGCAAAUACCGGAAACACACAAAAAGCAUUUAAGAGAGAAACUAAACAGCAAAUAAUGGAAGUAAGAUCAAUAAUAUAUGAUUUGAUUUAUGCAUAUUCAAAAACCAAAGUAAAAAAAAAUAAAUAAAGUUUGAUUUAUUCUUUCCACAAAAAACAGGGGAAUGAAAACAGAGGCAACUUGUUUUACCAAUUUUUUCUUCUUAAUUUCCGGCAAAAAAAAAAAAAAUCAAUAAACAGGGGAAUGAAAACAAAGGAACGAAAACAGAGGAAACUUGCUUUUCAGGCUAUCUUGUGACAUGAUGAUAUUGCUCGUGAAUGCAUGAAAAUUUCUAAUGCAAACAGCUCAAUUUGGGAUGAUAAGCUUAAGUUUGCAAGUGAUGCAUGUAAAUAACUUUUCACGGUUAAUUGAAUCUUUAAUACUCUGGGCCCUAUUCUAAAAUUUGUAGGUUGCUUCAGAAAAAAAAAAAAGCAUUUCUCACUCAUCUUUAAUCUCCAAGUAAAAUUAGAUACAAAGCAAAUCUAAUAAAAUAACAAACAAACAAACAAAACAAAGAAAAGACAGGAGGCAAACAACAUUGAUCUUAAGCCAGCUGAUAUUUAAACAGAGAAUUCUUUCUUUUUUUUUUUAACCUUUUGCUCAAGGAUUAGAGUUUUUAUAUUAACAGAAAGAUUUCAGGGGUCUGAAUAAAAGCCCAAAAUUUCUCUAUUUUAUUUUUAUUUUUAUUUUUGGAAAGGAGCUUCACUAUUGGCCUUGAAUGUGAGUAAAGAUUUCAUCAGAGUAAGUAAUACAAAUGAAUUGUAAAAGAACAAGACUUAAGCGUGCACCCCCUGUUUUGUUUUAUUCGUUAUGAAAAUGAUAUUGUACCCAAUUUUAAGAGAGCAUAACAAUAACCAUUCAAUGCAUAAAUUUAGAAUUAGUUUUUUUUUUUGUAAUUCUUUAUUUAAAUAUAAACGUCAAUGGAAAAUUAUAAAAAUUUAGAUAUGAAAUUUUAAGUCACCAGACCAAAAAAAAAAAAAAGCAUAGGAACGGAAAUAGAGGAAUCUUGUUUUACCUUUUUUUUUCCGUUUAACUCUUGUUCUUAUAUAAAUAAUCUUGUUUUGAUGAUUGUAACUCGUGACUGCGGGAAAAUUUCUAAUAGAAACAACUCAAUUUCGGAAGAUAAGCUUAAUUAUGCAAGUGAUGAAUUUGUUCAAUUGACUCUGUACUUGAACUAGUUGGAUUGAUUGUUUUUAGAUUUGACUGAAUUUGGGAACCUGUUGGAUUGAUUGUUUUUAGAUCAUUAAUUUCAGAUACUACAACGUAAAUAUUUUCUUGUGGUUGAGUCCUAUUCUCAAAUCAGUAGGUUGCCUUAGGAAAAGGGCUUUUCUCACUGAUCUUUUUUUUUUUUUCUUUAAUUCACACGCACUUGAUUAUUGACUUCUUUCAUGAAGAAAUAAACUUGUAAUGACUUAAAGAUUUAAUUUCAAGUUAGAAUCAAUACCAAAAGACGGAGGUUUAACCAAGCAUGCAGUGUGCUUUAAUGAUUUUGGCAUAGACAUUGCUUGUGUACUUUGAAAUUGAAAUGAAUAUUAAGUGACAGCACAGUGAAUAUGCCUAAUAAAAGAUCAGCAAAAGCUUGGAUGAAUGAUUGAGGACCAAAACUUUUAUAAAAGCAUUUUUGAGAGAAACUAAACACCAAAUUAUCAAAGUAAGAUCAACAGUAUAUGAUUUGAUUUAUACACAUUCAAAAACAAAAUAGUGAUUAAUAAUAAAGUUUGAUUUUGUAUUGCCAACGAUGCUUUUUUGUUGUUUCAUUUGUUCGACGUGGCCUUAUUUACAAAUUGGUUUAUGUUAACAGAAACAUGAAAUUCACAUCACACAAAAUUGCACGAACAAAUAUUAAGAGAACAUAAUAAUAAUCACUAAAUGCGUAAGGGUGAAUUUAGAAUUACAUUUUCUUUUUUAUUUAAUAAAAUCCCAACGGGAAAUCAUAAAAAUUUAUGUAUAAAAAUUUUCAAUCACAAACAAAAAACAGGGAGAAUGAAAACACAGGAAACUUGUUUUACCUUUUUCUCAUCUAACUCAUGUUCUUAUAUAAUAUUUUCCCUGGUAUUUCAGGCAAGCAAAUAAAUAAAUAAAUAAAUAAAUAAAGAGCAAGUUGCUAAAAUUGAUUUAUCUUGUUUUUCAGGCAAUCUUGUGAUAUGAUGAUAAUGCUCAUGAAUGCUAGAAAACUUCUAAUGCAAACAAUUCUAUUUGGGAUGAUAAGCUUAAUUUUACAAGUGAUAAAUAUAAAUAACUUUUUGUGGUUAAUUCAAUUUGUAAUUACCCUUAGCCCUAUUCUAAAAUUUGUUGGCUGCUUCAGAAAAAAAAAAAGAAUAUUUCUCACUCAUCUUUAAUCUUCAAGGAAAAAAAAAUAUAAUAAAAUGACAAACAAACAAACAAAUAAAAGACAGCAAACAAACAACAUUGAUCUUAUGCCUACUGAUAUUUAAACAGAGAAUUCUUUCUUCUUUUUCUCUUCAUGGAUUAGAGUUUUUGCUAGUAACAGAAAGGUUUCAAGGGUCUGAAUAAAAUCCCAGAUUUUUUUUAACUUUGUUUUUUGUGGGAAAAUGGAUUCAAAUUAACCAAAGCCAAUAAUAAGAUCACAGACUUUAACAAUGAACAAUAACUUAAGCAAAACCAAUGACAAGAUUAAAACAAACCACAGAAAUUUUUUCUCGGAAAGUAGAUGAAAAGCAAGUAAGAACUGCUAUUAAAGGAUAUUAUUAAAGGAUUUAGAACAUGUAUACCUCUUUAAUUAUAUGGGAUCAGAAAUCGAUGACCUCCUCUAUUCGCUUCAGAUAUUAAGUAAGAACUGCUAUUAAAAGAAUGAAUUGAUGAGAGUAAUAACAAUGAUUGCAAAAUAGGAAGACUCAAUCAUGCACCCCUUUUAUACCUGAUCAUAUUAAGAAGUCGUUAAAGAAUAACGACUAAAUUAGGAAUUAAUUCUGAAGUUCAGAAUCAAGAACAAAGACGAAGCUUUAAUAAAGCAUGCAGUGAGAUACAAGAAAUGGAUCUGGUAAAAUACAUUAAAAAAAUUUGUUCAACCUAGUUAAGCUGAUGAAAGCACUAGUUGUUGGCUCUACGUUUCAUAUGUUCUAAUGAAAUAAUUAAGUUGAAGUUUUCAACGAAUAAAUACCUGUUUCGCUUGAAUAGCUUUGGCAUAUACAUUACUUGUGUCCUGUGAAAUUGAAAAGGUUAUUGAUUUACAAAGCUUAUUAGUAGAGAAAAGCUACGCAAGAUGCCUGAUAAAAGAUAAAGCAAGAGCUUGAAUGAAGAAUGACAUUUUAGAAAGAAACUAAAGUGUAAUCAUCAAAGUAAGAUCAAUAAUGUACCACUUUCCUUGCAAAUCUGGUGGGUUUUCUGAAUAGAUUUUUACAUUAUUCUAUUUAACCAUUUUGGGUUUACCCUAAGCAUUCUUGGUUGGCAUUGUCCUGUAAUCUGCGCGCCCUGGAUACGUGAGAGGGAAUGAUGAGGGUAGAUAUGCAAUUUCAAGAAGCGAUUUGCUUGCAUAAUUCAAUGCAUGGAAAGAGAUGUACCUGGCCAGACAAAAAGGGAACCAUCCAUAUCUGAGCUUGACUUUUUAGACGGAUAAACAUUCUUAUUACUGUUGAUAAUGGAGAAGGGUUCUACUUUUGCUUUGCCAUCUUUGAUAUAAAACAGCAUGAUUCCUUUUUAUGAAACACUUGCCUAAGUCUUUUUUUUAUUUUUCUUAUUUUCAGAAAGAGAUUAGCUUAAUUUAAAUUAUAUUCACGAACAAAGUGUUAUACACUCAUAAAACGAGAAAUAGGCAUGUAUUGAUCACGCGCAAUCUGUUUUUUUUUUCCCCUUUUUGUUUUUAAUCCAGUCUUCUUAUUUAAAAAAAAAAGAAUUUAUUUGCUUUAUUUUAAAUUAUUUUUUCAUGCGGUAAAUGCAAUACUGAGUAAUGGGUGAGCAAAAUAUUUACAGGCACACCCCCUUUUAAUGAUUUCGUACUAAAAUUAAAAAUUGACGAUUCCAUGAUAAAGUUCAAAGAGUAAAUGAAGACCCAUAAAUGUUUUUUGGUCAUGAGCAAUUUUUGAGUUGGGACAGCACUCGUAUGAAAAAAAAUAGUUUUUUUUUUCUUUAAGCAUGAGGAUAUUAAUUCUUUUUUUAUAAAUCAGCGUGAAUAUAAAAUUAAAAAAAUAGUUUUGAAUAACUUCUUUUCUUUUUUCAUAAAUAUAGAUAAAAAAUUUUAAAGUCACCAAACACAAAACCAGGAAAAUGGAAAGGAAGCCCCUGUUUCUCCGCUGCUGCAAGCACAAAUUCGGUUUCUACAGGAGUACCUUCUAAAUGCACCAUUUGUAUUGCUUUGUUUCCACGUAAGCUAACGGAAUUUGAUGAAGACAAAAUAGAUAUGAGUCGUGCUAUUCACACCCCUCGAUAAUUCUUUCAAAAUCCCCUUUCUAAUUAUACCGCCUUGAAUAAUUUCAAAACUGACUUUUCCUCUUAUAAUACCACCUUCAAUUCCCUUAAUACCCUUGUUCGCUAUGAAAAUAGAGCGAAUUGCGUGGGAUAUACUUGUUUUCCCUCAAAAUACCUAAAAUAUACCUCCAUAUAUUAAAAUUGCUAGUUUUACACAUAUAUACUUAAAAAGAUCGGGAAAAAUACAAAAAUAACCUCAAUAAAAAUACUCGACUUAUUUAAUAUGCUUACUCGACUCAUUUAAUAUUCUUACUCGACUUCUUACCGGACCAUAUACUCGACUUAGUUAAUAUGCUUACUCGACUUAUUUAAUAUUCUUACUCGACUUCUUACCCGACCAUAUACUCGAUUUAUUUAAUAUGGUUACUCGACUUCUUACCCAACCAUAUACUCGACUUAUUUAAUAUGCUUACUCGACUCAUUUAAUAUUCUUACUCGACUUCUUACCCGACCAUAUACUCGACUCAUUUAAUAUUCUUACUUGACUUCUUACCCAACCAUAUACUCGACUUACUUAAUAUUCUUUCUCGACUCAUUUAAUAUUCUUACUCGACUUCUUACCAGACUAUAUAUUCGACUUAAUUAAUAUGCUUACUCGACUUAUUUAAUAUUCUUACUCAACUUCUUACCCGACCAUAUACUCGACUUAUUUAAUAUGCUUACUCGACUCAUUUAAUAUUCUUACUCCACUUCUUACCUGACCAUAUACUCGACUUCUUUAAUAUGCUUACUUGACUCAUUUAAUAUUCUUACUCGACUUCUUACCCGACCAUAUACUCGACUUAUUUAAUAUACUUACUCGACUCAUUUAAUAUUCUUACUCGACUUCUUACCCGACCAUAUACUCGACUUAGUUAAUAUUCUUACUCGACUUCUUACCCGACCAUAUACUCGACUUCUUUAAUAUACUUACUCGACUCAUUUAAUUUUCUUACUAGACUUCUUACCCGACCAUAUACUCGACGUCUUUAAUAUGCUUACUCGAUUCAUUUAAUAUUCUUACUCGACUUCUUACCCGACUAUAUACUCGACUCAUUUAAUAUGCUUACUCGACUCAUUUAAUAUUCUUACUCGACUCAUUUAAUAUUCUUACUCGACUUCUUACCCGACCAUAUACUCGACUUACUUAUCUCUAAUUCUUACUUGACUAAAUUCUCGAUUUACCAGACUUCGUACCCGACUUCUUCCUGUACUAAUUCUUCAAUCACUCAUAACUUAAAUGUAGUCUUAAAUCCCUACAUUGAAAUAGUGUGUGUGUGUGUGCAAGCACAAAAAAUGAAUAAUGUACUACUAAAAUUCAUAAAUCAUUAGGAAGUACACUUAUAAGAAAAAUAGAGAAUGGUGAGAGAAGCCCAAAAAAGAGAAGCAAUAGGAGAAGAGAGAUGUAAAUUCUUAGUUUUUUUAAGGUUAUUUUUUACUUUUCCUAUCUUCAUAAGGUAUAUGUAUGUAAUAAGGUAUAAAUUUGGCAUUUAAGGGUAAAUUGAGGAUAUUUAAAUAAAAAACCCAUGAAAAUAAGGAAAAUGCCUACAUAAAAAGCUGGCUCUGAUAAUCUACCUGAAUUUACAUUAGAAAAGAGUGGACUUUGAGAAAUAAGAAGACAAUAUAGGGAAUUUUACCAAAAUAAUCCAUUUUUAUAUACAGGGAAUGGUAUUUUCUAAUAUAAGGAGGAGUGGAGAAAUUAAAUUUAGCAAAAUAAAGAACCUCCAUCGAGAAGCAAAAAUGAUAAUAUCUUUGUCGUGAAGAGAUUUCAAUUCAAUUGCAUACACUGACGAAACAUUAAAUACGGAAAAAACAAAAAAGAAAUAAUAGGACAUGGGGAUUUCGAGAACUUCUAAAGAGAGAAAUGUAUUUAUAAGCAUUGAAAAUUAGCUCAUUAAAUUUGACAGAAUAAUAUACAAUCUCACUGUUGGCCAGAAAAUAAUAGUAAGAACUUGUGAACAUAAAUAAUCAAUUGCUUAUUACUUAAGCUUUUUCUCCGUUAUUUUGAAUGGGUGCAAAGAGGAGAAGUUUUGUACCCAAAUUCCAACUCGAAUUGUGUAGGCUGCUUGCAAGAGCUUCAUUAGAUUUUUAUUUGUCUUUUAAUAGUGCUUCUCGACAAAUACAGCUAGCUAUCUGUCCUUUUUGUUACUGGACUAUAGAUCAAUUGACAGCUGAAGUUAUAUUAAUUUGUUGUACUGGAAUUGAAGCUUGUAUCUUAGCCAUUUCGUGAAGUGUCAAAUAUAUUUUUAAUUUCCUUAAAAUUGUUCAAAAUAUGUUUACACUUUUAAAGUCACUAUUAUACAUGAGUGCCCUAAAAUUGGAGAAGGCGAUUUGCCUGACAUUACCUGUAUUCGCUUGUAUAGAGAGGACGAUUUAGAUAAGUCGGAACGGAACAACCUUCAUCACAUGCUUCCUCACGUGGUUACUUAAACUGAUAUGUAAAACGUGCUCCAUCCAUGUCGUUUCCACUAAAUCGUUUUCUGUUAAGAAUCAGCUGAGCAGCACGUGAGCUAAUGAAGCUUUUACGGCUUCAAAACGCAGCCGUUUCUGGGAACCAAACUUGAUUCAUCACCUCACAACUACAGAUGAAUUAUCGAAGUGGCUGAUUGGUGCUAUACGUGUUUUUCGUAUUGAACUCAACUCUGCUAUUUUCCCAAAGCUGGAAAACAGAAACAUCAUCCCUGUGGUUUUAUUUCCCCUCAACCUUUUUCUGAUCCCAUUUUCAUUGUAAUUUCUCAUUUACUUUGAGUGAAAGUCAUUGUUGCUUUCGAACGAGGUUUUGCAACUAAAAAGGAAAAGGGGGCGGCUAUAAUACAUGCGUGCAUCUGAUACAUGCACAAAAACUGACCAUUGGAUUAAAUGGAGUGGAUCUAAUGGCUGAGAUUUGUUUUAUUAUUAAGCAAUAAAAAAAUUUGAAACAACCAGAAACCUGUAAAACCGGUCAUUUGGUUUAAGUUAAAAAUAUAUAAAUGAAAAAAACAAAAAAACCCACCACUCCCCCGCCUCACACGCGCCUUACCGCUCCCUCGCCUCACCUCUCUUCUUGUUCCACGGCCAUCAACGGCGGCACGAGUCGGCGACGAUCAACUGCGGCUGUAAAUUGACCACGAUCAUCUCUCUCUCUCGGCUUGCUCAAAUUUGGCCGAUCUGUGCGCUUGAUUAAGCUUGGCCGAUCUAUGCUUGCUCGAUUACUCUUCCUAUCUUCAGUCAGAGUCAACUGUUUGACAAGAGUCGAAGUCCAAGGUUCUUUUUUACAGGAUUUGAGCUACUCCUUUUAUUCUUCUUGCAUGUUCACUGAUAUGAAGCUUUGAUGUGGUGUUCUGAUAGCGGGUGGAAUUUGAGAUUCUCCUUUCUUCUCUAUAUGAAGGUGCUUGUCAUGUGUCAAGAAAAAUAAAAUUAUUUACCAAAGAUUAUUUUAAGGAGAUUUAUUAUUAUUCGUGGAUCGGGAAGCUCAAAAAAUUUUCUUAUGUAGAACAUAAAGUGAUUUAAAUUUUGCCAUGGUAUAUCCUUUUCUUUGAUUGUGUUGUGGUUUUCCAGUUCUUGGAGAUGCAGAAGAAGUUUAUUUUGUUUUUUGGUAUCUUAUUUAUUUAUUGUUUUCACGAGGAAAUUGCUGUGCUUUUGGAAAUUAAUAUGCUGUGUUGUCAAUGUUGUGUGAAAUCCUUUUAUUGGUGUCUAUGUAAAGUGUUUCAGAUUUCAGACCUGAGAGUUAAUCUUCGCGUACCAGUUGGCUUUUGGGUUUAGUAUUGCUGCUUUUAACAUAAUUGACCUAUGGCCCAAAUCAUUUCUAUAGGGCAAAGCAUAUGAAUGAUAAAUAUUAUCUUUUUUUGGCCUUAUGUAUUUUUAUUUGCAGUGUGAUUUGGUCUAGCUUAAGAGCUUAAGCUUGCAGGUUGGAUUUGUCUGACAGGGAACAAUUUAAUUUGUUCAUCGUGAUGUUUAUAUCCAUUUUGUACUACUAUCAAUUUCAGUCAUGCCUAAUUUUUAUAUGUAUUUCUCGUGGACUCUCAGGGUCAGUGCACAAGAGGAUGAAGACGAUGGACACCCAAAUUUAUAGUGUAUUUUUGUCAUCUUUGUAUGACUGGCAGGUCGUCCUGAUUUGGUACAUGACUGGACACAGGAAUUGGACUCAUAUUUUUCAAACCAGAAUGCCAACAAUCAAGCAUUUUCUUUUGAAAGCACUGGCGUCUUCUUCAAUGCCAAAAAGGUUAGAGAUUUUCUGUAUCCUGUUUUGUAUUUGAUCAGUUUAGCAUGUGGGUGGCAAUCAAGAAAAGUUAUUAUAACAUUUUUGUGUUCCCGAAAAACUGCUGAUGAUGUGUAGUGCAGGAAAUGAAUUGUUUGUGACUUCUUUUUAUUUGUAUUCUUUCUUUUUUCUUUUCUCCCCAACAGGAUUAUGCAUUUCUGAAGAGCUUCUUGAAGUUGAUUACCUUGUAUGCCACUUUCUUUACUCUAUGCUCAGGAUGUGAUUUUGCCAAGCAUUAAAAUGGUUUAGGUCAGAACCAUCAUCUAAAGUUUACUUAAUGCAGCCGAGAAGCUGUAGUAGAGCAAUGAAGGCUGUUGGUGUUAUGAAGGCCAGCUGUGAAGAAAUAUUUGAACUUGUAAUGAGCAUGGAUGGGACACGAUACGAGUAUGCUUCUUUUCUAUUUUUUAUUUUUAGUUACUUUAACAUAAUCAAGACUAUAUUGGCUGUCUCUGUAAGCUGAGUAUUAUAUUUCCUCUUGUAUGCUGUGAAAUUCACAUUGUCUCCAGUCCCGAUUCUGUAUGUGCCUUUUUGAAUAUAUUUAGUUAAUCUGCAUGGUGCUUUCUAAAGAUUAUUACAAACUUUUGUUGCUUAGGUAUAUGAAGAAUGUGGAAAUGAAAAUAGCUUUUGAAGUUUGAUGGAUUGCUUCAUUAAUAAAGAAAGACUAGGACUCAUUUUUAUAACUUUUUCUCCACUUAGCUAAUGGUAUUUGAUGAAGACAAAAUAGAUGUAGCUAUCUGUAUUUUUUGUUGCUGAACUAUAGAUCAAUUGACGGUUGAAGUUAGUUAUAUUAAUUUGUUGUACUAGAAUUAAAGCUUGUAUCUUAGCCAUUUCAUGAAGUGUCAAAUACGUUCUUUCCUUUUUUUUUUCAAAACAUGUUACAUUUUUGAUGUCUAUUACAUAAAAGAGUGUUCUAAAACAGGAGAAGGCGUGCUGCCUGAAAUUACCUGUUUCCUAGCAAAUCUAGCUGGUUUGCGAAUUAGAUUUUAACAAGUCUCUUGGCAAUGUUUGCUAGUAAUGUGUUCAAAUUAUUCUAUUUAAUUUUACUGUCUGUACCCUAAUAAUUCUUGGUUUGCACCAUUGCAUUGUUCCAUAAUCUCUGUGCGUUGGCUUAUAAAGGCCAGCAAGGCUGAUCAUUUGUCGAAUAGUUAUUUCCAUGAAAUUCCUAUCAAUUUGACUCAGUAUUUAGAGGUCUUGAAGAGGGCAGUGUACUAGACAUGGAUUUCUACCUCUUUUGGUUGUACAAUUGUUGUAUUCCUUGGCCAUCAGAUCUUUUUUAUGUACCUUUCUCAAAGUUCAUGCUGCAUGUACACCCUUUUUCAUGUUUUGUGCAGGUGGGAUUGUAGUCUUCUGUAUCGCAGCUUAGUUGAAGAGGUAGAUGGGCAUACGGCUAUUCUCUAUCAUAGGCUUCAGCUGGACUGGUUUCCAAUGUAAUAGUCUCUCGAUUCAAUCAUCUCAUUUAUGCUUUGGUCAGAAUAGAACAUUUAUUGUUUUCUUCUUUCCCCUUUCCUCUCUUCUGAUAUAAUAUGUGAGGAAAUUACCUAAAAUUUUUCUGUAUCCCAAUGUAAUUGUUGGAAUUCAGAAAUAAAAUACAUACACCGUCUUGUUUUUCCCUCGGUUCAGUCCUAAGUUCUCUUUGGGCCUUCUGCAAGUUUUUAAACAUACUAUGACAGUAAAAAAUCUAGUGAUUGAGAUCAUUUUGAUGAAUUUAAUUUUAAUUCUUAGCUGAUACUUUUUCUGGAAAUUUUUUUCUUAUGUUUCCUCAAUAUGACUUAAAAAUAGGGCUUAGUUUGGUUUAGAAGUUCAUCUAAAACCUUCUGCUUGAUUCCAAAAAAAUUCUCAAGGAAGGUCUCAGAUGGAUUUUAGGGGAGUUCUGUGGCAAAUUUGAAAAGUUCAGGGGAAGGGUCUAAUGAAUUUCAAAACCACAUGGGUUAUCUGUUUUAUUCAGAGGAUAGUGCAAUUCCCUAAAAUUUAUCAUUUUUAUUUAAAUAAUCUUCCUACUUUCCUCUGCGGAAUUUAUUUAUAUAUAUAUGAAUUUAUUUGGUUGCAGGUUUGUUUGGCCCCAUGGCCUUUGUUAUGUGCGUUAUUGGCGUUGAAAUGACGAUGCGAGUUAUGGUAAGGUUCUUGCUUCCCCACUUCUUGAAAUUAAAUCUAUCUUUUCUGGCACUAGAAGUUUCCAUAAGCUGUGUUUUGUUAUCACGCAGUUGUGUUAUUUCAUUCUAGGGAGCAUGAGAACUGUGGUCCACAACCAGGAUAUGUACGAGCUCACGUGGAGAGUUAGUUUUCUGUCCUUUACUUUGGUUGAUGUAGAGAAUUAACAAGUGACUAAGUCAUGCCAAGUUGCACCACUUGCUUCCUGUAUUCUGAUUUCUCAGGUGGUGGAUUCAACAUUUCCCCACUAUAACCUCAAAAUGGUAGGCCCAGAACACAGGUACAACAUCUUAUGCAGAUUGAUCUAAAAGGGUGGGGUGUUGGUUGUGUGGCAAUGUUUCAGUAACACUGUCUUCGUCAGAUGUUAAAUAGCGUUGCUGGUAAGUUUCUAGUAUUUCACAUUUUAUUUUGCACUGUUAUGGAUUAAUAUGUUUCUGCUGGGUGGCCAUUUUAAGUCAUAUUUUUACGUGUUACUGUAUUUUCUGUCGGUCCUUUUAUAGGGAACACACACAUACACGUAUGUAGAGUCACCUUUUAAUGAGGGAUCAACCAUUUUAAUAAAAUGAGGAAUGAGCUAAAAGAUAGAGAUUCACGAACUCCAAUGCAAUAUGUGUGUGUGCGUGUGUACACCUUUUCUAACUCUUGUUCUUAGUUAGAUAUUUUUUGGGAUUUCAGGCAAAUGAAAAAAGAGAUUAAGAACAGGUGGAUGAUAACUUUUUAUUUUUUUUUUGGAACAAGGUGGAUGUUAACUUAAAUAUUCAUUUUUAUAUAUUUUGUUAAUGUCCUCUUUAAUGGAUUUCUAUGGAAUUAAUCUUUUUUUUUUCCAAUUAGUUGCAGCCCUAGAGGAAAAGCAGGGUGAUCAAAUUGAUUUAUCUCGUUUUUUUGGAGCAAUCUGCAACACAAUGACCGUGAUAAUGCUUGUGACUGCUGGAAACUUUCUGAUGGAAAUAACUUCAGAGUUCGUAGCAAGCAUUUUGUUAUGACAAAACAAAGGUUCCCGCCAAUUUUGGUUGUUUCUUAUGGUAUUUAUAUAUCUGACAUAUUCUAGUUCGACAUGUAACGAUGUAGUUUGGUUGGUUCUUCUUGUUCUUUGUGCAAUUUGUAACUGCAGAUACAUGUGGGAAAACAUUUAAUGGAUCUUGUUGCUGUUGAUUGGUUCAAAGACACAAAGAGAAUGGACCAUGUAGCUAGGCGUCAAGGCUGUGCUGCACAAGUAACUAUUCUUUUCUUUUUUAUUUUUCCUUUUCCAUUGACGGAUUAGAAGAAAAUACUGCCUGUGAGAUACUACAAUGUAAAUAACUUCUGGUGGUUCAUUGUAUCUAUAGCACUCUGAGCCCUAUUCUAAAAUAUGUAGGUUGCUUUCGAAAAAGGGCUUUUCUCACUGAUCUUUAAUCUUCAAGUAAGCUUGUUUAAUUUCAGAAGGUAUUAGGUUUCAAACUUAUCGUUUUGGGAGGUUGUAUGGUUGUAACGUAAGCAUCUGCAGGUUCCUGGUUCAACACAUUAUAGUAUGGUAUUUUAUUUUGUCACAAGGGAAUUAGUUACAGGAUCCCUUUUGCAAUGGUUUGUUGACAGCGAUGAUGAAUUUCGCAAUAGUAGGCUGAAACUUAUCCCGUCCGUUCCUAAGGUAUCCGUCUUGGUCUUCAUGUAUUAGGACUAUGUUAACGUAUACGUACCCUUCGCUGCAUAGUACACUUCAAUUUGUACAAAGAAGGCAUGCAUUUAGGUGUAAAUGUAUUGAUGGGUUGUACCUUCAAACUUCAUUUCCUUUUUCUACCGAUUUGAAUUUGUUUUGCAUUUGUUCUUGAUUUUAAGCACUGAAUCACGCGGGGGUCAUGGAUCGUGCGCCAGAGUGAUGGAAGCACCCCUUGUUUAUUAGGAAAAGCAGUUGAUUGUAACUAUAUCCACGGUCCUAAGUACUUGGAAGUAAAUGCUCUUCGAAUUCCUAUAGUACAUGGGAUGUGUUCCCUUUCAAAUAGCUUGUUCAAUAUGAUUAACAUGGUUUAACAUUGUUAAUCUUUCUGUAGAUUGAUGUUGACAUGUUCUUGUAAUUGGUGUAAUUACGGCAUUGGUGGUUGACAUGGCUUUCCUUGUGCAGGUAUGUAUGAUUGUUUUUUUCCCCCAGUUCUAAAUGACACAAGGGAAAAGACAUGAUUUUGAGAUAUUGUACUGCAAUUUGCAUAUUUGCAUACUUGAAUGUUCUCAGAAUGGUAUAAUGCUUUGUGUAUGCAGGCAAAUACUACAGAUGAAUUACCGGAGCGGCUGAUUGGAGCUGUACGUGUUUCUUAUAUAGAACUCAAGUCUGCUAUUGUCCCAAAGUUGGAACCAGAGACAUCAUGACUCUGGUUUCAUUUCACCUCAACUGUUUUUUUUUUUUUUAAUUGAAAAAAAAAUCAUUUGUUUUAGGUAUACAUACAUGUAUUUUGAUCCCGUUUUCAUUGUAAUUUCUCAUUUACUUUGAAAGAAAGUCAUUGGUGUUUUCGAAUGGGAAUUUUGCAUUAAAAAAUAAAGAAUACUUAAUAGGAAAUUUCAUGAUUCUUUAGUUACUAUUUUUGGAAUGAGUGUAAUAGUAUUAAAGUUGGUUUCUACUCGCAAACAAGUGAACUACUCGAUCCCCAACUGCGACCACUACUUUUAAAACUCAACAACUAACAAAAAUACUAAUAAAAAAAUGAUUUUCUUAUGAUGCUGUGAAAACAUUUAUGGGUUCACUUAUUUCCACAAGAUCUAUAAAAUGGUAUUGACUUCACGAAAUUCUUUUAAUUUAAAGGGUGUUGGUCUGAGAAAGUCAGUGUGACGGAUUAAUUUCUUCUAAUAAUGGUCGAUUUAAUUUUACUAUGCUCAUAAAACUAUUCUUAUUCUGAUAAUGUCAUAAAUGUUAUGAUGUUUUCUUCGGCUAAUGAUCUUCUAUCAGGACUAGUUAGAAAUCAAAUGCUUAAAACACCAAUUGAAUGAAUAAUGCAGAAGUUUAAACAGUAUCUAAUUGAAAAUUGCAUGAAACAUGAAACAUCAAUUCAAGUCCUUCCUUAAACAGAGAAUGCAUCAAACAAAUCCAAAGUGUCUUGCAAGUCUGUAGCAUGACUAAAAAAUUGUAAAUGCGUUUAGAACCAAAUUAUUCAAGUACAGGAGAACGAGCAAGUUGAAUCAUGUACAAGAGAUUGGCCUGGUUCGAGAUAGCUUCUUCACUGUACCUGAAGGGUUGGCUCAAUCUUUUCUCUAGAAUUCUGCACAUUUUGUAAUUACUCGUGUAAGCAAGCAUACAUUACAACCAUAAUAAUAAUAAAGCAAGAGUAAUGAUACGACCACAACCUCUUGUGCACAAAUAAUAUUGUACAAACUAAUAUGACAUAAUAUGAUUGAUUAAACAAAAACAUAACAUGACCCUCAUUUUUUUUUUUUAUUUUAUGUUUUCAGUCAAGCAACCAUAUUAUGCCACGUUAAUAGCUAUAGAAAUAAUUUGCUAGAUAGUGCCAACACUUCAUUGAUACUCACCAUUUCAUUGAACAAUUUUUUUAUGGUGUCAUUGAGGUUUCCUUCCCAACAUCCUUCAUCAUCACCAUCUUCUUCUUCGGUGGGUUUCACUUUGUUUAGCUUUGGUGCGUCUACGACUCCUUGAGAGAAAAUCUUCAUUGUUGGGCACUGUCUCACAACUACGUGUUCCAAGGACGGGAACUCAAGAGCGUAAUUACCCAAACAAAAGCUUGUUAGGCUUGGCAAGCAAUCAAGUCCCAAGUACUCCAAUUUCCUGAAAACAAUGCAAUCUUCCGCUUCUUCUCCAACCUGCAACUGUAUGAUUUCUUCUAUCAUUUUGCAAUCAGUUAUCUUCAUUAUUCCGAGAUUCAUUAGACUUUCAGAUGUUGAGAGCAUCAAUAAAUUUAUCAACCCAUGACACUCGAAUACUUCCAGAGUCGCAAGAUUUUCCAAAUGCCACGAAGCUGGUACUAAUUUCUGCAACUUACUACAUUCAAAUAUUUCUAGACUUUUCAAGUUUGCAAACACUUUGUUGGAUUUGGCAUUUUCCUUCCAGAGAUGCUGCACUUUGUGUAAUCCAGAUAGCUUUAACUUCAUCAAUUGAGGGAAUGCAACCUGAAAAUCAACAAAAUUAAGUUGUAAAUAAAAAUAUGUAUCCAAGCUCUGCAGUCUUCCCCUGCAUAUUUUAUGGACAAGAUUAAUCACGACAUUUUAUAUUUUUUUCCAAAUUAGUAUGCUUUGCAGUAGGAUCCCAAAUAUAAGUAUCAAAUCGAUUACCCUUUGAAACACAUAAAUGAAAUCUGAUCUUAAAUCCAAUAUGAAUUAGCUAGGAAAACAGAGAUGUAACAUGCAUAAUCGAUAUAGUUCAUCACCUCCUGUCACUAGGGAUCUAAUUAAUUUGAGACAUUUUUAUAAUUCAUACUAUAAAGUUAGUUAAUAACUACGGUUAUAUUGUUAAAUCAGAUAUAAAUUAAGACGACGUGCAAAAAGAUGAGUCAUUAAAUUUGAUUUGAUUCUAAUGAAAUUACAUUUGUGCGAACGAAAGUGAAGGGAAAAAUAAUAAUAAUGAUUACCUUUUCAUCGAAGAGAUGUUGUAUGUGAUUAGCUACCAAGAGGUUCUCUUCUGAUUUUAAUUUUUGAGGUUCCUUAUUAUCGGCUGUCAUGUGCGGUAGAGGUGUAGAAUUGGAUACAAAUGUUUCCAUAUCAGGGCAAUUCUCAAUAAUUAGAUAUUCCAACUUAGGCAUUUCAAUUAUAUUCCCAGUGAGGUUGCAGAAUCUUUUGAGUUUUGGAAGAUCAAUGAGCCUUAGCUCAAAAAGCAUAGGAAACAGGGGGCCUAUAUGUACUUUUUCAGCAUUUAGCUCUUCCAAAUGAAGCACCUCUUCUAGUGAAUCACAAUUGCUCACUUCCAGCCGUAGCAAAUUGUUAAAGCACCGUAGCAGAUUGGCAGGAAUAGCACUCGAAUAUUCGUGCAGUCAUCCACCACCAGCACUACUAAAUUGUUGAAGAAGCUGACAGGCAGUGCUUGGCCAUGCCAUGUUUCUUUCAAACGUGGAAAAGGUGAGAGUUGCAAAUACCAUAUGUCACGGAAUCCAAUCUGCACAAACCAAAACAAUUGCACUGGAUAUAUAUAAACUAUUUUUUUGAAAGGCAUUAGAUAUAUAUAAAAUAUAUAUACAAGGCAGGUGUAUAUGUUCAACGAAUCGAUUUAACACAUACCAUUUCUUUGUAACACUUUUGUAUAGUGGAAUUAAGGUUGCCUUCCCAAUGGCGCAAUUCAUCCUCUUUCUUUUCAGUCACCUGCACUUCGUGCAGCUUUGGUGUGGAUACGAUUCCCUGAGAAAAAGUCUUCAUGUUCUGACAAUGUGUCAUAGAAACUCGUUCCAAUAAUGGGAAUUCAAGAGUGUAAUUCUCCAAACAAAAGCUAGUAAACCUUGGUAAAUAAUCGAGUAUCAAAAGUUUUAAUUCCCUGAAAGCAAUACGAUUCUCCUUCACUUCUUCUCCAACAUGUCCUAUGAUUUCUUCUAUUUUUUCGCAGUGUGAGACAUUAAGAUUCACCAGACUACUAGGAAUUCCAACCUGAAAAUAAAGAGUAGCAUUCAACUAUAUUCAAAAUAUGUCUAAAUCAUACAAUUGUUUUAUGAAAAUAACAAACCAUGAAUGUCUACUAGAUAUUUUUUGUUAAAGAAAAAAAGGAAAACAAUAAAACAAAAAUAAAUAAAUAAAUAGAAAUCCAAAAAAACAAAGAUAAUGAAAAUGCAUUUAUGCUAUUUAGUGUUAGGAAUGUAGAAAGAAUUUCAGGUAAUUUUUAAAUAUUCUAAAUUCAUUUUUCAUCUUGAUGCUAGUUUUUAAAAAUUUUUAAUUUUCAAACAUGCCUAUUUUUAAAAUAACUAAACUAAAACGCUGUAUUUCCCAUUUUUUUUCCUGAUGUUUCCUGCUUUUAAAAAUGGAAAACAUUUCUGGAAAACACUUCCCAACGCCAUCAACAUGGGACUGUUAUAGAGUGAAUAUUUGAGGAAAUUUUUUAAUCAACGGUCGAUUCAAAAUGACCAUCAUGAAUUUGUGCUUAAUCAAUGGCGUAAUCAAUUCAUAACUAAACUAGAGAUAUUAACUACAUUUGAACACUUUUCUUUUUUUUUUUUAAAUCGAAAUCUAAAGACCCAAGGAAAAGAGAAAUAUAUAUGAAUUUGUGAACUUAAAAGCUGAGUAACUAAGUAUCUUUUAAUUUCUGAAAAUCUUAUUUAUUAGGAUUUAAGAAAAAAAACAAUUAAAUUGAAUUAUAUUAUGCUGUUAAAUCGUGUUUAAAACAAUUAUAUUGUUGACUUUAAUGCAGGUGAACCUAUAAAUUAGAUUGAAAAUGCAGAGUUCAGAAUGGUGAUUUGAAGUACACUACUUUUUUUCCCUCCACAAGUUUGAAGUACAAUAGUUGCAAUAAAUAAUUUGUGAAUGAAAAUUAUUUGUAAACACAAAAAUGAUUAAAAUAAUUGUUGAAUGUUAUUUGAAAUAAAAAUUCAAAAUGAAUAUAGCAAUCUUACCAAUGGAGGAAAAAUAUUCAGUAGAUUAUUACACCCAGAUAUCUCCAAACUUUUCAAUUUGCUAAAAGAGUCUAAAGCAAGCUGGUGGUGCCAUAUUUUUCUCAACUGAUCCAUCGAGCUAAUAUGCAAUACCUCCAGACUUGGGAGUCGUACCUGAAUUUAAAAAUUCAAUGCAAUUAGAGAUGGAUAUUAAUUAAAUUUGAAGACUCAACGAUAGAAGAAAUUAACUAUUAAGAAUAAAAUUAAUUAAAAAAAAAAACCUUUUCAUCAAAGAGAGGUUGAGGUUGCAUUUCAGAAUGAAUGGUGUCUUCUGGUGAGGCAAAGCUACUUAGUUUUGGAAGACCAUCGAGCUGCAGGGAGUGUAGUUUAGGAAAAACCUUUAAUUCAUCUCUUCCUCCUAACCCCGUGGUGUUGACUACCCCUUCAAUUGACCGGCAAUUUCGAAUCUCAAGAUGUUGGAGUUGCAAAAGACUAUUAACCAUAGAAUAUGAAAACGGAUACUUCAGACGAUGACACCUUUCCACGGUCACUUUUGUCAAGUUUUGACAACAAUACAUUCCCUGAAAUUGAUCGGGCCAUAAUUUUUUGAUGCUUAUUAAACGGUCAAGUUUCAGUUCCUCCAAGCGUGGAAAAGUAACCUGCAAAGCAAAACCGUACAUUCUUGUUAAUUAAUUAAUUAUUCUUUCGAUGAUUGAAGAUCAAUCGUGAUAAUAUAUUAAUUAAUUAAUUAUUAAAUAGAAAAUUAUUACCUGGUGAACAGGAUCAUCCUCUGCAUUGAUUUCUGUGAAUCCCUCAGUAGUUGUUGGUUUCUCCAUGUCGGGCCCUAUAAAUGAACAAAAACAAUAUAUAAUAAACAUCCGUUGUUUUAUUCACCAAAAAAAAAAAGAAAAAAAGAAAGAGUCAAUGUCAAUAAUCCUACCAAUAAUUAAUUUCAACACUUACCAAUAAUCAUUUUCAAAUCAUCGCAGUCUUCCACUUUUACUUUUUGAAGCCGCAAUAGGUUUUUGGCCAUAGAGAAUGAGAAGAGAUGCUUCAAUUUGUCACAAAAAGCUACUCUUAUAAUCCUUAAGUUGCUGAAAGAUUGAUCUUCUCUGAGUUGGCUGUAGCAUAUCGUCUCCAAAUUAGUUAAAUCAAUAAGAUCCAAUGACUCCAGCAAGGGAAAGACUUCGCAACGAACCCGUCUAACUGAACCGACAAUAUGUACAAUCUCAUAACAACUUUCUACAUGAAGAUGCUUCAAUCGUGGAAAACCUUCCCCAUCGUCUAAUUCAUGAACAACAUUCUGAACACCCUCCAAUUUUACUAGCCAGAGAUCUUCAGUUCUCUGCAGCAACAUUUUCGUCCCAUCAUUCUCCUGGAGAAUGCUAACUUUUUCUAGCCCCUUGAGCAUCAUCAAUCUUAAUGCUUCAGAUUUGACGAGCAAUUGGUCAAUCUCAUAUUCGAGCUUAUCUCCUAUACGUAUCCUAUAUCUUUGCAAUUCCACAGAGACAAAAUCCGGCAACAGAAUUUCGGCAUCCCGAACUUCUAUCUCCAAAGUAGUUAGCUUUGUCAACCUCUUCAACUCGACAAGACUGGCAUUACUUCCUCCUUCAACCUUCUCCCACCCUGAAAAGCUGUUAUCCAUAUACAAUUCUUCUAAUCGAGAUAAUUUUGAAAUGACAUUUGGUGCUAUCACCUGAAGGCUCCAACAAUUGGUCAAAUCUAACAAUCUUAACCCCGUCAAUUGUCCAAUUUCAAGUGGUAACUGCUCGAUAUUGGAAUCUGCAAGGUUGAGAAUCUCUAAUUUCUUUAGCUGUCCAAUUGCCGCUACAUCUUCUAGUUGGCACCAGUCUAAACACAAUGUUUGAAGGUUAAUGAGGCGACCAAGUGAUGAAGGUAAUGAAGAGAAAUGAAUUCCGAUAAGACUUAAAACUUUGAGUUCUUCUGUUCCUUCAAAAAAGAGGUCUGAAAUUUGCACGGGGCCAUAACCCUGUCUAAACAACAAAAAUAACUGGAGAUUGGGACAUUGCAACCUUUCAGGGAGCUCUUGAAUAUUUCUCUGGGGUAAUGAAAUGGCAAUUGGAUCUUUCCGUAUUGUCUCUUCCAUCUUUUUCUCCAAGUCGGCAACAUUUGGGAUAUUAAACAUGCGCGUCUCUGCGGCAACUGAUACGGCAACAACAUGAAUGAUGUCAUGCAUUUUAACUUCAUCUUCAGCAUCACCGUCCAACAAUAAGCAUGAAGAUUUGAGAUUGUCGAUCAACCGAUGCACCCUACUCCUUGCUUCUUCCAAUGUGUAAACAUUUUCAAACAAACCCCAACCCACACCAUAUCUCAAUAAGUAAGGAACUGGUAUAGCAUGACCUUCACUGUAUAGACCACAAAGACGGAACAUAGAUUUUGCUUCCUCACUUCUCAAGAAGUCGUAACUCAAUUUUAUGGAGAGGUACACAUUUUUUUCCAUUCCAUCAAUUUCUUUUGCAUAGGAACUUCUUAGCUGACGCAGCACAUCUUUCCAAGUGUCAAGGCUCUCAUUUUUCAAAGCUUUUGCAAGUGUAAUCAGUGCAACCGGCAGUUCUCCGCAUCUUCCGACGAUCUCAUGUGCUAUAGGUUGAAAAGCAGAUGUUUUCAUUGAAUCACCCACUAUCUUCUGAAAUAAAUGCAAUGCUUCUUCUUUUGAUAAAGCAUCGAUCUGGAUCUCUUUCUGAGAAUUCAUAACAUUGCGCAAUAAAUCUUGACGUCUAGACGUCAGUAUUAUUGUGCAUCGUCGCUGAUCAUCCAUUCUUUCUUUCUUAACAUCCCCGGAAGGAAUUCCAACUUCAUCGAACUUCAGUUCUCCCCAAAUAUUAUCCAAUAUAAUGAGAUGCCGCUCCUCGUUCUUCAAAACUCGACAUAGUCGAUUUGCUCUGUCGAAUAUACUCUCAUUCAACUCAAACUUUAUGCCUAAAUCAGAAGCAAGUUUGUCUUGAAUUUUCUGAUGAUCUGGGUUCUCUGUUACCUCAGCCAUAGCGACCUUAUCGAACAACUUAUCUUUUUCCAUCACUCGCUUUGCAACUUGCUUGACGAGCGUGGUUUUACCCACGCCGCCCAUCCCGUAGACCCCAAUAAUGUUGAGCUUAUCAUCCUUCAACGCCUCCACAACAUCUUGAAAUACUUUCAUUCUUGAAUCAAAGGCCUCGUAAUCUUUCACUUGCAAAUGUUCUGUACUCUCUGGAGCAGGAAGGUAGGAAACUUCCCUGAAGUCGCCUUCUUUUAUGAGACUAUCGGCUGCUUCUUUGUCCAUUGCAGCUUGUUUACUAACCCUGUAACGAGAAAUCAAAUUUGGGCACAAUCCAUCUUCAGUAUCAAUGAUGGGUUUU